GAGGGUAUAGCUCAGUGGUAGAGUGUGUGCUUAGCAUGCACGAGGUUUUGGGUUCAAUCCCCAGUACUUCUG
This 72-nucleotide transfer RNA is filed under the name Camelus bactrianus (Bactrian camel). It matches the Rfam family "tRNA". Rfam says of the family: Transfer RNA (tRNA) molecules are approximately 80 nucleotides in length. Their secondary structure includes four short double-helical elements and three loops (D, anti-codon, and T loops). Lineage: Eukaryota; Metazoa; Chordata; Mammalia; Artiodactyla; Camelidae. RNAcentral also lists the same sequence under 1 other name. The record is from Rfam by way of RNAcentral.